UAGGGAAUCUUCCGUAAUGGACGCAAGUCUGACGGAGCAACGCCGCGUGAGUGAAGAAGGAUUUCGGUUCGUAAAACUCUGUUGUUAGAGAAGAACAGCGCAUAGAGUAACUGUUAUGCGUGUGACGGUAUCUAACCAGAAAGCCACGGCUAACUACGUGCCAGCAGCCGCGGUAAUACGUAGGUGGCAAGCGUUGUCCGGAUUUAUUGGGCGUAAAGCGAGCGCAGGCGGUCAAUUAAGUCUGAUGUGAAAGCCCCCGGCUCAACCGGGGAGGGUCAUUGGAAACUGGUUGACUUGAGUGCAGAAGAGGAGAGUGGAAUUCCAUGUGUAGCGGUGAAAUGCGUAGAUAUAUGGAGGAACACCAGUGGCGAAGGCGACUCUCUGGUCUGUAACUGACGCUGAGGCUCGAAAGCGUGGGUAGCAAACAGG
RNAcentral lists this ribosomal RNA (429 nucleotides) under Bacteroidota bacterium. Its description in RNAcentral is "Bacteroidetes bacterium partial 16S ribosomal RNA". It matches the Rfam family "Bacterial small subunit ribosomal RNA", at positions 355 to 776 of the family's 1533-position model. Lineage: Bacteria; Pseudomonadati; Bacteroidota. The record is from RNAcentral.